Molecule: ribosomal RNA, 464 nt
Filed under: uncultured bacterium
Lineage: Bacteria
Description: partial 16S ribosomal RNA
Rfam family: Bacterial small subunit ribosomal RNA
Source: RNAcentral
GACGAACGCUGGCGGCGUGCUUAACACAUGCAAGUCGUACGGUAAGGCCCUUUCGGGGGUACACGAGUGGCGAACGGGUGAGUAACACGUGAGUAACCUGCCCACAACUUUGGGAUAACGCUAGGAAACUGGUGCUAAUACUGGAUAUGUUCUCCUGCUGCAUGGUGGGGGUUGGAAAGCUCCGGCGGUUGUGGAUGGACUCGCGGCCUAUCAGCUUGUUGGUGGGGUAGUGGCCUACCAAGGCGGCGACGGGUAGCCGGCCUGAGAGGGUGACCGGCCACAUUGGGACUGAGAUACGGCCCAGACUCCUACGGGAGGCAGCAGUGGGGAAUAUUGCACAAUGGGCGCAAGCCUGAUGCAGCAACGCCGCGUGCGGGAUGACGGCCUUCGGGUUGUAAACCGCUUUCAGCAGGGACGAAGCUUUUUGUGACUGUACCUGCAGAAGAAGCACCGGCUAACUACGU